UACGGAGGAUCCAAGCGUUGUCCGGAUUUAUUGGGUUUAAAGGGUGCGUAGGCGGUCUAUUAAGUCAGUGGUGAAAGUUUGCGGCUCAACCGUAAAAUUGCCAUUGAAACUGAUAGACUUGAGUAUGGUUGAGGUGGGCGGAAUGUGUCAUGUAGCGGUGAAAUGCUUAGAUAUGAUACAGAACACCGAUUGCGAAGGCAGCUCACUAAACCAUAACUGACGCUGAGGCACGAAAGCGUGGGUAUCAAACAGGAUUAGAUACCCUGGUAGUCCACGCCGUAAACGUUGAUAACUCGUAAUUGGCGAUACACAGUCAGUUACCAAGCGAAAGCGUUAAGUUAUCCACCUGGGGAGUACGUCCGCAAGGAUG
This 370-nucleotide ribosomal RNA is filed under the name uncultured prokaryote. RNAcentral describes it as "bacterial SSU rRNA". It matches the Rfam family "Bacterial small subunit ribosomal RNA", at positions 524 to 896 of the family's 1533-position model. The record is from RNAcentral.